This 73-nucleotide transfer RNA is filed under the name Treponema sp. RNAcentral's name for it is "tRNA-Trp". It matches the Rfam family "tRNA". From Rfam's summary of the family: Transfer RNA (tRNA) molecules are approximately 80 nucleotides in length. Their secondary structure includes four short double-helical elements and three loops (D, anti-codon, and T loops). Further hydrogen bonds mediate the characteristic L-shaped molecular structure. tRNAs have two regions of fundamental functional importance: the anti-codon, which is responsible for specific mRNA codon recognition, and the 3' end, to which the tRNAs corresponding amino acid is attached (by aminoacyl-tRNA synthetases). tRNAs cope with the degeneracy of the genetic code in two manners: having more than one tRNA (with a specific anti-codon) for a particular amino acid; and 'wobble' base-pairing, i.e. permitting non-standard base-pairing at the 3rd anti-codon position. The record is from RNAcentral. Lineage: Bacteria; Pseudomonadati; Spirochaetota; Spirochaetia; Treponematales; Treponemataceae.
AGGCCAGUAGCUCUAAUGGUAGAGCGUCGGUCUCCAAAACCGAGUGUUGUGGGUUCGAGUCCUACCUGGCCUG